Molecule: ribosomal RNA, 465 nt
Filed under: Vreelandella stevensii
Lineage: Bacteria; Pseudomonadati; Pseudomonadota; Gammaproteobacteria; Oceanospirillales; Halomonadaceae
Description: partial 16S ribosomal RNA
Rfam family: Bacterial small subunit ribosomal RNA
Source: RNAcentral
CCUACGGGGUGCUGCAGUGGGGAAUAUUGGACAAUGGGGGCAACCCUGAUCCAGCCAUGCCGCGUGUGUGAAGAAGGCCCUCGGGUUGUAAAGCACUUUCAGUGAGGAAGAACGCCUGGUGGUUAAUACCCAUCAGGAAAGACAUCACUCACAGAAGAAGCACCGGCUAACUCCGUGCCAGCAGCCGCGGUAAUACGGAGGGUGCGAGCGUUAAUCGGAAUUACUGGGCGUAAAGCGCGCGUAGGUGGCUUGAUAAGCCGGUUGUGAAAGCCCCGGGCUCAACCUGGGAACGGCAUCCGGAACUGUCAAGCUAGAGUGCAGGAGAGGAAGGUAGAAUUCCCGGUGUAGCGGUGAAAUGCGUAGAGAUCGGGAGGAAUACCAGUGGCGAAGGCGGCCUUCUGGACUGACACUGACACUGAGGUGCGAAAGCGUGGGUAGCAAACAGGAUUAGAUACCCUGGUAGUC